UUAAUUAAAUAUUAUGAUUAUUAGUACAGACGGUGGCGUUCCGUUCUUGCGAUUUUACAGAGGGCGCAAGGCGCGGGGGAGGAUGACGCAGGUUCUCACCCUAAAUUCUCUUCGUUCAUUGACCCGACCUGACUUACCAGUCCGUCAACGAUGCUUCAAAACAACCCGCUUUCAGCAUUGGAAUCACAACUGGACUUUUCUGCUGCAGAAUCUCAAAUGCAAUGGCAAAUUCUCCUGCCUUUUCUCCGAUAACCGCAGAGAGGUAGGAAAUUUCGGUCGCUUUUAGGUUAACUAAGCCGUAUCUUGUAAAUUUCAUGUUUGGUUUCUGAGAAAAUUAGUGGAUGUGUCACUGUUUUAGCCGCUGGUUUGUUGCGUUGCAUAGUGUCUGUUGGUUCUAACUAGAAAUGAGGAAUCCAUAUAAUUUUAUGUUAUGGAAUACUUGAACUAUGAUACCUAGAACCACGUAAGGUCUUCUUCUUUGUGUUGUUUGUAAAUUUCAUGUUUGGUUUUGGAGAAAGUCAGUGGGUAUGUUACUGUUUUAGCUGGUGCUGUAUGAUUUUGAAUAGGGUUGUUGGUUUUAGGCUACUUGGGUGAAGUCGCAGUGUCAAAGAUUUAGUAGAAGAAAUCAAGAAAAAUGGUGUUAAAUUUCUUCUAGGUGAUGUUAUGGGAAGGUUCAGUGGGUAAGAUGAAGUGUAAAGUGUUUUUGAAGUAUGUGACUGAUUCAUCUCGAAACAAUCUAUGGGUUUCUCUAUUUGGACAUGGGGCUGUUCAAAAUUUCAAUGAGAUGUUAACUCGUGGUAUUUCAUUGGUGUUUUCUUGAAAAUAUCCAUGUGCAAAUUUGCAUGCUAGGUUUGUCAUAUUCCAUCAAGUUUAAGUUUUGAAAUUUUAUGAUUUUAGUUGCAAUGUUUGGAAAAAUUCAUAACUACUUGCCUUUUGUUUUGUAAUUGGCUACUGUGUCAAUGUUGAUUCUAGUCUUUGAGCUGGAAUAUGUA
RNAcentral lists this long non-coding RNA (992 nucleotides) under Carica papaya (papaya). RNAcentral describes it as "long non-coding RNA (CPAP_LNC007605)". The record is from RNAcentral. Lineage: Eukaryota; Viridiplantae; Streptophyta; Magnoliopsida; Brassicales; Caricaceae.